This 108-nucleotide small nuclear RNA is filed under the name Salvator merianae (Argentine black and white tegu). The record is from RNAcentral. Lineage: Eukaryota; Metazoa; Chordata; Lepidosauria; Squamata; Teiidae.
GAGCUUUGCUUCGGCAGCGCACAUGCUAAAAUUGGAACCAUACAGAGAGGCUUAGCAUGGUCCCUGCGCGAGGAUAGCACACAAAUUUGUGAAAUGUUCCAUAUUUAA